UACGGAGGGCGCAAGCGUUGUUCGGAAUCAUUGGGCGUAAAGCGCGUGCAGGCGGCUUGGUAAGUCGGGGGUGAAAUCCCGGGGCUCAACCCCGGAACUGCACCCGAAACUGCCUCGCUCGAGUCCCGGAGAGGAUGGCGGAAUUUCCGGUGUAGAGGUGAAAUUCGUAGAUAUCGGAAGGAACACCAGCGGCGAAGGCGGCCAUCUGGACGGUGACUGACGCUCAGACGCGAAAGCGUGGGGAGCAAACAGG
Molecule: ribosomal RNA, 253 nt
Filed under: uncultured bacterium
Lineage: Bacteria
Description: partial 16S ribosomal RNA
Rfam family: Bacterial small subunit ribosomal RNA
Source: RNAcentral